UGUGGCAAAUGGAAGUUCCCAGGCUAGGGGUCUAAUCGGAGCUACAGCUGCUGGCCUAAGCCACAGCUACAGCAAUGCCAGAUCCUUAACCCACUGAUUGGGACCAGGGAUCGAACCCAUAUCCUCACGGAUUCUAGUCAGGUUUGUUUCUGCUGAGACACAACAGGAACAUCCUCUUGAUAGCAUCUUUGAAACAUAAAACUUUUACAUUUUGAUGAAGUCCAAUUUUAUCUUCUUUUUCUGUUUAUGCUUUUGGUAUUGUAUCUAAGAAACAAUGCCUAAUCCAAGGCCACAAAAAUUAUGUCUAUGUUUUCUUCUACAAAUACUAUACUUUUUUGGGGGGGCCAUACGGCAGCCAGGGAUCUGACCUGUGCCAGAUCAGCAACCCAAACCCCUGCAGUGACAACGCCAGAUCCUUAACCCACUGUGCCACAAGAGAACUCCUAAGAGUAUUACAGUUUUAAGUGCUUAUAUUUAGUUCUAUAAUCCAUUUUAAUUAAUAUUUGUAUCUGGUGUGAGGUAGGGGGGUUAAUUUUGGGGUUUUGCAUGCAGAUAUUCCAUUUUUCCAGCACCACUUGUUAGAGACUAUAUAUUUUCCCCCAUUGAAAAUUAAUGUCAAAAUUAAUUUGACAAAUUAAUUGAUUUGUCAAAGUUAAUUUUGUCAAAAAUAAUUAAUUCAUUAUAAAUGUGAGGGUUUAUUUCUGGUUUCUCAAUUCUAUUCCACUAAUCAAUAUGGCUAUCCUUAUGCCAGUACUAUAGUGUCCUUUUUUUUUCUCCUUUUCUUUUUUUUUUUUAUUUUGUCUUUUUUUGCUAUUUCUUGGGCCACUCCCGCAGCAUAUGGAGGUUCCCAGGCUAGGGGUCUAAUCAGAGCUCAAGUGUGUCAGCUUUUAUGAAAACAUUCAUCAGUAGAGAGAGAGAGAGAAAAAAAAAAAAUCAUAUGAUUUGGGAGAAAACGUGAAGUUAAAGAGCUCUUUAAAAGGAAGUCAUAACAAGAAAUCAUUUGACAAGGAUAAGACUAACUUAACACUAAAAGAAAACGCCUACUAGAUAAUUAGAUAUUUAUCAGGUACAAAUUAUAGUAAAUAUUGGGAAUUCAGUAGUGAAAAGCCCAGUUGCUCACAUAUCCUUAUAGAGCAUUUAGAAUUUAAGAUCAGACUGCCUUACCUACUUUGUAGUAAUUGUGCAGACUUUAUGAAAAAAUUAGGUUUGUCCUACUAAUCUGAGAUCCUCAGGACAUUAAAAAAAAUAUAUUGAUAGGCUAAUAAAAACCCUCAGGCACAGGGCCAUGUUUUUUGGACUGGUUUUAUAAAUUCUUAUGCCAGAAAGAGACACAUCUAAUUUCUCAGAAGUUUGAAUUUCAGCUCUCCUCAUCAUGGACAAUGUGUGAGGUUAUUCUUAAUGACUACAGUUUGUAACUCUAAAUCACAGUGAUAUUCCUUCCCCUUAAUGCUUCUAACUUUUCAAAUGGAGUGUAAAACACAAGCUCAAGGUAUGAUUUUGCUAUACUUUCACUAGCAUCAUAAAGUACUGUGGACACAGAUCUCAAAUUUGGUAACUGCCAGCUUUAGAAGAGGUGCAUCCUUGAUCAUAUAAGAAAUAGUGCAUCUCCAUUGUGGUGCAGUGGGUUAAGGAUCCAGCAUUGUCAUUGUAGCAGCUAAGGUCGCUACUGUGGCACGGGUUUGAUCUCCGGCCUGGGAAUUUCCAUGUGCCACAGGCGCAGCCAAAAAAAUAAAAGAAAUACUAAGGAAUCUCUUACUGGAGACUGAGUGAUCCAAAAGGGUAGAUGCUUAUUAGCAUGCCUUAUGAAAGAAGGCAGUCUAUGACUUCAAGGAGAUUAUUUUCACGGGUAAUGAAGGGGAGUAUGUCAUUAAUACUGGCAAGAGUGUGACAAAGGUUUGGAGGGCACACAUAAAAGUGACAUGGAAGAAUUAAAAGAGCAAGAAGACAUGAUUUUGCAAAGAACGACAAAGAGGAUGACACAGAAGGUUUAGAAGAAAUGUGGGGGAUUUUCAUAAAUUUAGUCAAAGUUCUAAAAUGGAAAACUGCCAACGAUACCAAAACAAGUUAUGGUGAAUAAAGCUUUAAGUAAUAAAAUUCGUACUGAUUCUAAUAAAAGUAAUACACAGCUGCCAUAGUGUCUUUAGAAAGAAACUAUCACUUCAUGAAGGUUUUCCUCUCAGAAUACUGUCUCACAAUAAUCUCCCUUAUUUUCCCUACCAUUUGCCUCUUUCUCCAAAGUUAAUGUUGAAGUGUGACCUUUUCUGUAGUUUAGUACAUUUCAUGAUUUCACCACACAGUCCAAAAUUAUCUGGCAUCACUAUCUUGAAUAUGAAGAUUCAGGCAAGUUCAAAUUAAUGUUUCUACUAAUAAUUCAAUAUAUGUAGUAUAACAGUUGUUUUAGUGGGAGAAUUACAUUAGUUAUGUCUGACUAUGGGAUAAUUUACAUCAAAAGACCAAAGGGGUAAAAUGAAUUUUUUUCAACACAUCUUAUUGCAUUUUAGGGCAAAAAUGAUAUGUUACAUAGGUUAUCACAAACUUAGGAAUUCACAAAGUUCUCCCAUGAAUGUCAAGGACCUAUCUUUUUUUUUUUUU
RNAcentral lists this long non-coding RNA (2592 nucleotides) under Sus scrofa (pig). RNAcentral's name for it is "lncRNA (ENSSSCG00055024935.1)". The record is from RNAcentral. Lineage: Eukaryota; Metazoa; Chordata; Mammalia; Artiodactyla; Suidae.